GGGAAUAUUGCACAAUGGGGGAAACCCUGAUGCAGCAACGCCGCGUGAAGGAAGACGGUUUUCGGAUUGUAAACUUCUGUUCUUAGUGAAGAAAAAUGACGGUAGCUAAGGAGCAAGCCACGGCUAACUACGUGCCAGCAGCCGCGGUAAUACGUAGGUGGCAAGCGUUAUCCGGAUUUACUGGGUGUAAAGGGCGUGUAGGCGGGAGAGCAAGUCAGACGUGAAAUUCCAGGGCUCAACCCUGGAACUGCGUUUGAAACUGUUCUUCUUGAGUGAUGGAGAGGCAGGCGGAAUUCCGUGUGUAGCGGUGAAAUGCGUAGAUAUACGGAGGAACACCAGUGGCGAAGGCGGCCUGCUGGACAUUAACUGACGCUGAGGCGCGAAAGCGUGGGGAGCAAACAGG
This 403-nucleotide ribosomal RNA is filed under the name uncultured bacterium. RNAcentral describes it as "bacterial SSU rRNA". It matches the Rfam family "Bacterial small subunit ribosomal RNA", at positions 357 to 776 of the family's 1533-position model. The record is from RNAcentral.